This 137-nucleotide ribosomal RNA is filed under the name Escherichia coli IS35. RNAcentral's name for it is "Large Subunit Ribosomal RNA; lsuRNA; LSU rRNA". The stretch from base 1 to 117 matches the Rfam family "Bacterial large subunit ribosomal RNA", at positions 2814 to 2925 of the family's 2925-position model. The record is from RNAcentral. Lineage: Bacteria; Pseudomonadati; Pseudomonadota; Gammaproteobacteria; Enterobacterales; Enterobacteriaceae.
CCUGACUCCUUGAGAGUCCUGAAGGAACGUUGAAGACGACGACGUUGAUAGGCCGGGUGUGUAAGCGCAGCGAUGCGUUGAGCUAACCGGUACUAAUGAACCGUGAGGCUUAACCUUACAACGCCGAAGAUGUUUUG